GUCACUGCUAUUGGGAUUCGAUUAAGCCAUGCGAGUCGAGAGGGUUCGGCCCUCGGCUGACUGCUCAGUAACACGUGGAUAAUCUGCCCUAAGGUGGAGGAUAACCUCGGGAAACUGAGAAUAAUACUCCAUAGGUCUAAGAUGCUGGAAUGCAUUUAGACUGAAAACUCCGGUGCCUUAGGAUGAGUCUGCGGACUAUCAGGUUGUAGUCAGGGUAAUGACCUGACUAGCCUACGACGGAUAUGGGUUGUGGGAGCAAUAACCCAGAGAUGAUAUCUGAGACACGAUAUCAGGCCCUACGGGGCGCAGCAGGCGCGAAAACUUCACACUGUGCGAAAGCGCGAUGAGGGAAUCCCAAGUGCAUGCACGUAAGUGUAUGCUGUUUCUUUGUUUAAAAAGCAUAGAGAGUAAGGGCUGGGUAAGACGGGUGCCAGCCGCCGCGGUAAUACCUGCAGCUCAAGUGGUGAUCGUUAUUAUUGGGCCUAAAACGUCCGUAGCCGGUCUUAUAAAUGCCUGGGUAAAUCGUGCCGCUCAACGGUACGACUUCCGGGUAGACUGUAAGACUUGGGACCGGGAGAGGCUAGAGGUACUCCUGGGGUAGAGGUGAAAUUCUGUAAUCCUGGGGGGACCACCAGUGGCGAAGGCGUCUAGCUAGAACGGGUCUGACGGUGAGGGACGAAGCCCUGGGGCGCGAACCGGAUUAGAUACCCGGGUAGUCCAGGGUGUAAACGCUGCUGCUUGAUGUUAGUCGGGCUCCGAGCCCGAUUAGUGUCGGAGAGAAGUUGUUAAGCAAGCUGCCUGGGAAGUACGGUCGCAAGACUGAAACUUAAAGGAAUUGGCGGGGGAGCAUAGCAACAGGUGGAGCGUGCGGUUUAAUUGGAUUCAACGCCGGA
RNAcentral lists this ribosomal RNA (893 nucleotides) under uncultured archaeon. RNAcentral describes it as "bacterial SSU rRNA". It matches the Rfam family "Archaeal small subunit ribosomal RNA", at positions 23 to 922 of the family's 1478-position model. The record is from RNAcentral.